This 234-nucleotide unclassified non-coding RNA is filed under the name fungal sp. RNAcentral's name for it is "partial internal transcribed spacer region". The stretch from base 1 to 46 matches the Rfam family "Eukaryotic small subunit ribosomal RNA", at positions 1786 to 1831 of the family's 1831-position model. Lineage: Eukaryota; Fungi. The record is from RNAcentral.
AAGUCGUAACAAGGUCUCCGUUGGUGAACCAGCGGAGGGAUCAUUACCGAGUUUACACACUCCAAACCCCUGUGAACAUACCUACCGUUGCUUCGGCGUGUCGCCCCGGGUGCCUUCCGGCCCCGGAUCCAGGCGCCCGCCGGGGACCUCAAACUCUUGUUUUUACUACGUGGAUCUUCUGAGUGGCGUAAAGCAAAUCAAUCAAAACUUUCAACAACGGAUCUCUUGGUUCUG